UACGACCCACGUGUGGUCAGUGCUACUGUAGGAAUUUUUGUAGGAAUAUUUGAGGGACAGUGAAAAGUGUUUGUCUGGUUUUUCUUUUUGUUUCUGCUGCGACCACUUGCUGGGCCACUUUUGGCCACAUGUGGCCCACGUGCCGCCAUUUGAAUAGGUCUUUCUAUGAAUAAGAGAACAUUUUCAAUAUUUUCUAUAUUUGAUUAAUUGCAGUUAAAAUCAAAUCUAUUUUUCAUGUCUUUCUCCUGUUAUGUAGCUAUAAUGUGAGCCUGCUGGAGGACUGGCUGCGUAGCCGUGAUGUGCAUGCAGGGGGCGCUGUGGCCACACUGGAGCCUCUCAUCCAGGCCGUUCAGCUGCUGCAGGCAGGGAAAAAAACUGACGAUGACGCUCAGGCCCUCGUCCACACCUGCACUGCUCUGUCCAGCCAGCAGAUAUUGAAGAUUCUGAGCCUCUACACUCCCCACAGUGACCAUGAUGAAAGAGUUUCACUCAAUUUCAUCCGUACCGUGCAGGGGCUUCUCAAAAGCCAUUCUGACGGUCAGCCUCCUCUGCUCCACAUGGACGUGAGGCGAGUGUUUCCUGUCAGCUUCCCUUACUCUCCUCCUGCGGCCCUUCACGCUGACCACUUAAUCAUCCCAGACUCCCUGAAGAUCUCCUUCCUACGCAGAGUCUAGAGAACAGUGCGUCCGACCUUUUUAGAUUUAGUGAAAUUAAAUAUCUCCCAGGAUGUGCCUUGAAUUUGAUUCAGAAUUGAUUCAUUCAUCACUGUUGAGGGGAUCAGUGGUCAAGUUGGCUUGAAUGUUAAAGUAAUAUGAUAUAAAUCAGCAUGGGACGAAAUAGUCAAUUUUCUUGGCUUGUGAGUAUUUUAAUUUAAAAAAUAUGACACGCUGCAUGUUCGAUAAAUCGAAAGUCAGGCAUUUAGAUUUUCGAGAUGGUGCAGCUUGCUCGUACAUUUUGGCAAAUAAGAAACGAAAGGAAUAAGUUUUACAAAGAUAUUUGUAUUUUUUUUACUGGAAGCAGAAACACAACGGGACCACAGUCCCAAUCAAUCAAUCAAUCAACCCCCAAUAAGAACAACCAGAAUUAAAAAAGAAAACAAAAAUUAGAAACAUCUUGUGUAUAAAAAAUUUCUCAUGCGAGUACUUUGUACCACUGCACAUCAUCAUCAUCAUCAUCAUCAGUAAUACAUAUUUAUAUAUUCACAACCAUUUGAAAAAUAGAAAACAAUAAAGAAAAUACCAAAAUAAAGGAGACAACAAUUGGCAACAUCAAAUAAUGCGUGCUGGCACUAUAUGCAUAUAUGUGUAUAUGUACACACAUAUAUAUAUGUGUACAUAUACACGUAUAAAUAUAAUGUGUGUGUUUUUUUCUUUAUUUUUUUGACUUGUUCCUAUCAUGCACCAUGUCUGGAAGUCACAGGACGGACAUUACUGUGCAUUUGUUUGUGUGGACAGCUGGACACGACAGGACAGAUCAUGCACGUCUGUCUCUUUUGUGUCUGUGCUUUUUUGUUGUGCUUUUACAUCAUGUCCUCCACUUCUGUGUGCAGUCCUGUUUCACUUGUGAUUAGUCCCAAAUAGCAAACCGAGUUCCUCGAGUAAAGUAUCAUUGUCAACAGCAAUAAAUAAAAAUCUUUCCCCGUGGCAUUUCCAGCUAUGUGACAGUUAUUGACCUGUUAUGUAACAGAAAGAGCAGAUGUCCUGUGUAAAACACCUGGAACACAACUUUCCUAGAUUCAGUUCAGUUGUAUUUACUAACACAAUCCUUUUUUUUUUUUCAGAAUUGUUGGUUAUUAUUGACAAUCCACUCAUCUCCUUUCACACACACACACACACGCGCACACACACAAACUGCCCACUCAACCAGAGCAAAAUUCAAUUGUACAACAGAGCAGCAACCUUCACAUAGUCUGGUGAGUUUGGUUGUAACAUCCCAACUACAAACAUCGGCCAAAUAAACAACACCAUCCAAUCUCUCUGUGUUCCUGAUUAUUUUCCCUGUACAAACAAAUGUGAGUCUUUAAUCAGCUCCACUACACCUGUAAUGUUUGGCCCCGUUACUAUAGAGACAGCAUUUACAACAUAUCAGACAAACGAGCUUGCACUGAUAUAAUUAGAACAAUAAUCCACAAUGUAAACAUUACAAGACUGUGUCAUCUACAUAGGUUUUUUUUUUUUUGAAGAUAGAUUAAAUGCAUAGUGUUCAGCUCUUAUACCUUAAAGCAGAGGGAGUUUUAAAUUAUUCAGCAGUGAUCAAGUGCUUUU
Long non-coding RNA from Solea senegalensis (Senegalese sole), 2264 nucleotides. RefSeq lists it as uncharacterized. The transcript is spliced from 3 exons. NCBI's taxonomy places the organism in Eukaryota, Metazoa, Chordata, Actinopteri, Pleuronectiformes, Soleidae. The record is from RefSeq and is a predicted model, not a curated record.